UAUUUAGAUACUAAAAUGAUCCAUCUUUGUGCUUGAUUUUUGCUGAUACUGUUUGUAUGGCAAAAGAAAAUGAUGACAGCGCCUUCAAACGAGGUACAUGUACUGUGGAACAAUAGCAGAGAUUUGAACCCUUAUAUUUCUGGGACAAGAAAAACUUGACACCGGGAGAAACACUAUGAGGUUUCUCUGUGUUUCACUUUCUUUAACCGUGAUUUGCUGGCUAGCUGAAGGCACCUUGUCGAAAACAGACGCAAAGAAAGCUGCUACAAAAAAACUGGAAGAAAAGACACUGCAUUCUGAUAAGAAUGUGCAGGACCGGGGACUGGUAGUUAUAGAUCCAAAGGCAAAGGACAUUAUACUGGAACACAGAAGCUACUGCUCUAAGAAGAUGAAAGAAAGACACUUCUCAGGAGAUGUUCUGGGAUAUAUUACUCCUUGGAACAGCCACGGCUAUGACAUUGCUAAAAUAUUUGGAAAUAAAUUUACAUUAAUCUCACCAGUCUGGUUACAAGUGAGAAGGAGAGGCAAGGAGAGAUUCCAGUUCACCGGGCUCCACGAUGUAGAUAAAGGCUGGAUGAAAGAUGUCAGAAAAAACUCCAAAAACAUCAAAAUAGUGCCUAGAAUUUUGUUCGAUGGCUGGACUUACCAUGACUUUGAGAGUGUUUUUGGCAGCGAAGAUGAGAUAGAAGAGCUUUCCCAGAGUAUGGUUCUGCUAGCUAAGAAUGAAAAUUUUAAUGGCUUUGUAGUCGAAGUUUGGAGUCAGCUGGGAAAUCAAAAGCAAAAGGAGUUGAUACACUUGCUCAUUCACCUUUCUGAAGCUCUGCAUGAAGCACAACUAAAACUCAUACUAGUCAUACCUCCAGCAGUUGCAGCAGGGACUAACCAGCCGGGAAUGUUCACAAAGAAAGAAUUUGAUCAGUUGGCCUCAGCAGUAGACAGCUUCAGUCUCAUGACAUAUGACUAUUCAACACCACAAAGACCUGGUCCAAAUUCUCCACUGCCCUGGGUACGAGCCUGUAUUCAAGUAUUGGAUCCUGAUUCAAAAUGGAGAAAUAAAAUACUUCUAGGGCUGAAUUUCUAUGGCAUGGACUAUUCUGCUUUGGGAGCCUUGGGGGAGCCAAUCCUCGGUACCAGGUACAUUGAAGUCUUGAAGGAGCACAAACCAAAGAUUGUCUGGGAUGAACAAAUUGCUGAACACUACUUUGAAUACAAAAAAAAUAAAGGAGGAAAACACGCCAUCUUCUAUCCAACACUGAAGUCCGUCCAGUUGCGCUUAGAGCUUGCAAAAGAAUUGGGCACUGGUAUAUCCAUCUGGGAACUGGGACAAGGCCUGGAUUAUUUUUAUGACCUGCUUUAAAGUAAGAGAUGAUGUGGGAAAGACUUCUGCUUCACUGAGACUCCACCUUCAAUUAAUUUGAGUAUCCCGGAGAGAUAUGAUUGUUGGUUUCUGAUAAGGUUCAGAGAAAAAAACUUGAAAGCUUCUGAAUUCACAGCGCUUAGAAACAGACCGACCUGCACAGCUGGGAUGACACUAGAACUGAAAAUAUUUUCUAGAUUUUUUUCUGCAAGAAAUGAAAUGGACAAACUGAUACCAUCUGAUCAGGGUAUAAGGUGGAUAUCUCUCAAACAGUUGCUGCUAAUUAUUUAAGUGAACAAAUAAAUUAAUCAGAUUAUGUCUGGCAAAUUUAACAUCUGCUGGACUCUGCAACCUGCUGUCUCUUAAUAAGCUGUGCUAGGGAUAACUGUCUUUAGCAUCCUCAGAGAUGGAAUGAAUACAUGUGUGUCAGAAAGAUCAAACUAACCCUACUAAAUCAUGAAGAAUAAAUACGAGAGGAAAAGUACAUUGUGAGUUCGAGCAAUUUAUGGCAUGAGGCUAAGGAUUUUGCCUUUUUGUCUCUAAAGAAUGUAAAAAAGCUGUGUACCACCAGUGACCCAUGAUGAAGGCAAGUUUCUCUUGAAAUUUACACCUCACUGCUUGGGUGAGAAGAUGACACGAGAGAGAUGCUGGUACAAAGCUGCUGAAAGCAAAGCAAAGGGCCACUUGGGAGUUGCUUUCAUGGGGCACAAAGGUUAUCACAUUUGAUCCAUACAUCAUGUGGAGUUUAAAUAAGGAUUGCUUGAGUGAUGCACUUCACCUUCCUCAAACGAUGGGGGACGGAGUGGAAAUCAGAAGAUUUUGGCAUUCACCAUUUUACUCCACCGUGUAAAGCCUGUAUGUCACAGUUACCUCUGCUUCUCAUCCUGCUCAAAAAGAUUGAUCUCCUGGGAGGCUGGAAGUACUGACGGCUGGAGGAGAUAAGAGAAAUCAGUUUCUGUACUCCUUGUAACUGUUUUCAUCAUUCCUAAGCUCUGUGAACCUAAAGCAUCAGGAAGGGGAAGGAGCUGAUGGAAUUGCUGUCAGAAUCCUGGAAGAGGACAGGCAAGCAGCUGGAAUGGAACGACAGUGGCAUCAAAGGUGAGCAAAACAACACUGAACGUUUAUACUUUUGACCUUGUAUACUCAGGAUGGGGUUGGUGACUGCUUCCCAUUCUCGGGUGACAAUAUCAGCUGCAGUGCCUCUGCUAGGAAGUAACUUGUAUGAUUGAUUGAGGUGGUAAGACUGUACCCAGGGAUCAGCUGAUGCCCCUGGCUGCAGCAUCAGUGAGGCAUCGCAGCUUUUCUUAUGUAGAUCUGACUUGUGGCAUCUACAGACAAGGAUCCACCACCUGCACGUUCACACAAAACUCAGAACUUCUCCGUCUGCUAAAUCACACGGAUUGGGUGGGAUGGUUUGUAGAGAGACUUUACUGUACUGUGUACUUUACAUAUACUGUGGCUGAGAUUCAGUUUUGGGAGCAUCUUUUUGUGCUUGUUGUGAAGGGCUUACCGUGUGUUUCAUGGGAUGCUGCUCCGUUGUGCCGUAUGGUAAGGAAGAACACUGCUCAGGUGACUACAAUUGCAUGCCCAGCUCUUCUGGCUGUUUCCAUUUUCACCCAUAUUCUCCAUCUUUGGUUUUUGUGGGGGCUUUUUAUUUUUAGUAUCUGUUAUUUUUUAGUGUCCCUUUUCUUCCUUGACUUUCUUGGUGCAAACAUAAACAUCCAGAUAAAUUGGAAUCCUGUGUCAUCCUUUAAAAACAAAGAUUGCUUGCACUGCAAUAUUCUGAUUCUGAGAAGAAGGUACAUACGUGUAUUUCUUGAAUGUACAUUAACUCUUGAUUCCACCAGCAUGGGUGAUCUCCAGUAAGUUUUUUAAUUAUGCCAGUUUUCCAUGUGAUAACAGUUCCUUUAAACAUGUAAGGACUUAUUUCAAAGAAUGUUUUGAUAGUGAAGAAUGUACUGUGCCACAUUAGCCAUCUGUGGUGCACAGUUGGACAUAAGAAGGUGAUUAAUAGGGAAGAACUUGAAUGCACAGACUUCACAGGAUAAACUUCAAAUUUUUAUUAGCACCAAAUAUCAAGCAGGCUCCAUGACAACAAGUUGUACUUCCAAGCUGGUAAGUUAUUUAGUUUAGGGAAAGCGAGUGGGUAAUGAUACGACACAUUCAUUCAAUUUAUGCACUCUUGUAUUUGCAUUUGUAAAUUCCCAGUGCCUUCAGUUGCACACAGGUCUGAGUUCACAACUUCUGUUCUUCCCCAGAAUGUAGGACUACUUUCAACUAUGAGGCUUAGGAGCAUCUCUGUUCUUGAAAGGCCAAGUAACACAACUUAGCUGCUCACUAGAACAGUCAAAGUGCUUCUGACUCUGGGGGGGAAACAUUCCUGUUUCUCUUUCUAACAUACUGUCAAGUUUAUGCAGCUGAGCUCAUAGCAGGAAGAAUUUCCCCCGCAGCCCUUCCUUGCUUGCAGCCCCACGCAGGCUCUGUACUCAUCUAAUGCCAAUGUCACUUUCAGGUAAAGUUCCUGCAAUUGCAAACCAGUAGCAAUUGGUGGCGAGGGAGGAGGGCUGUGUGAUGUCCUGAUUAUAAAGAAUCAUGGUGACUUGGACUGUCAUUAGCAACAUCUGGUAUAGGUACACUGAGGGAAAGAGGGGAGCUUCCAAGAAAGCACCAGAACCAGCUCCAUGCUGAAACAUUCUUUUCCUAAAGAACUUGCAAAUGCUUCAUCUUAACUGAGUCUGUAAAUAAAAUUAACUUUCUUGGCGGGAAGGAAGAGUUCAGUUCCUUCAGAAAUGAAAGCACAGUGCUAUAUCGGUGUAGAGCUUUUGUUUGGUGGAUUUUUUUGGGGUAGAAGUUACCUGGACAGUUAGCUUUGCCGCAAAGAAAAAUGUGGGGAUGACCUACAGUGCUCAUCCCCUCAGUACUGUGUGGGUGCAGGUGAGCUUUUCAAAACAGCAGAGGGAAUGUUUCUGAGCUGAGGCUGAUCUGAGCAUCUUGGAUGCUAUCAGAAUUGUCUAAUCGUGUCCAUCAGUGACUGAGGAAAGGCCUUGUGGAGGAGGGAGGUGAGGUGCAUCUGAAUAGACUUUCACAAACCAGUUCCCGAAAUCCCUUUAUUUCUGUAGUAAUUUGUUUUAUCUCCAGGAUGAGUACUUUACACUUAAAACUUUUCUCACUGUCAGUAUGGGGAAAUAAAUACAUAGGCAGUACAUGUUAAUAAUUGUUUUUUAUGCUGUACCUUGUACAAAAUUUACUUUGUUUUACAGAUAAAUACAACUAUGUAUUUUCUUUUGUUGUCUGUGAUUCAAACCACAUCCUGUAAUAGUCCUAUGGAAACGUAGUGGGAAGUUUCUACUGUAUAAAGGAUCCCAUGCUUUCAAAUUAUUCCUUUAACCACUGGUACAGGGAAGUUUGUGUUUAAGCAACUCUGUCAUAACAAAAUGUUCUGCCCAAACAACUUCAGCAGAAACGGUGUCAGUGGAUUGGACAUCUCUUCACUAAAGAAACAUCCACUGUCAGGCAGCUUUCAAGAACCUCAUGUUGCUCUCUCACUUGCAUUGGUGUAAUGAAUGCUUUCUGGCUGUUUGAGGGAAUGUAAACUGAGGGGUUUGGCCAGGUCAACAAAAAUCACCAUUUCUAGUGAACAGAAUAACAUACCUAUUUCUAUAUGGAAUAUUUUAUUUAAAAGAAAAAAAAGAAAGAAAGAAAGAAAAAAAGCAAGGCCUUGGGUAAAAUGACUUAUAGAAACUGCUGGGAAACAGCCUUUCAAAUUGCAGUUGCUUGGUAAGUUACUAACAAUAGAUUCUUUGUCUUUUUUAACAUACCAGAAAGUAAGAAACAUACAGGGCUCUGUAUUUUGUACUUUAGAUGUCUCAAGCCAAAAGUUGGGAUGAAGUUUUUAUAGGCUGCCCUCAAGCCUCUUCGGAAGCAUUCUCUGUACAUUCUUGUUUUAUUUGCUACCUUUAGCUUGUUGUCUUUUGUGGCCACAGUGCCAUGCAGACAGAAAGUACUCAACCUACACAGUGAGUAUAAUCAGCUAAAGCUCACAUUCCUGGGUUGUGCUAAGUACAUCUGAGGGAAAUAAGCUGGAUGUCAGCUGAAAUGUCAGCUUGUUGCCGAUUGAAAUAGAAACACCUGUCUGUGCUGAUGUGUAGUUCAGGAAGCAAAGACAACUGAACUAGGAUAGCUGCUGGGGAAGGUACACUGGACUUUGAAUUCUGAAACAGUGGGAUCUUGAAGAUCAAUAGUAAUCUGUAUUUCCCAGGUUAAAGCCUUAGUGGGGAAAUAAAUUAGGCUGUAAAGGUGAUAGAGCUGCUCUUUGCCCACAAAUUUCCAUAAUAUUCAUUAAGUUAUACUUCAGCGUUCCUGAAGGAUAGACCCAGUGGUGACUAUGUGAAAUUGAAAGGCAACGCAUUAAAAUAUAUCUCUAUAUGACAGGUUUUUUGUUUGUUUUUAACGUAUAGUGAACUUCAUUGUUACAAUGUUAAGACUGAAGUGGAAAUCUUCUCAGAAUUCAGAAAAGAACUACAGCUGUGGUCAAUGAGACCAUCUAGUGGUGCAGUUAACAGAAUGAAGGAAGUCCCAGGAAUGCAGGCCUGAGGGUGGAAGAAAUGUCCGCCAACUUUGUGAGGUUUCCUGCAACAAUCUCUAAGCUGUCUGGUUCCCAUUUUCACACCGUGUCUAUCUACCCUUCCAUUAGUCUAUGUUGCUCAGAAGGCACCAAAUUUAGAGGCAAGCUCACAAAAAAGCAGUGUCAGACAAGGUACUUGGCUAAGCAAAAUUCCUUUUGAUUUGACACAGGAGAUCAGGAGUCCCUAAUGUUCCACUGUAACACUGUCUGGCGUUAACUUCCUCUGUUUUCCUAAGUAAUUUCUGAAUAUAAGCAGCUACCUCAGAAAAAGAGAAGUUACUCACUUUCAGAAUUAUCAGUGACAGAUGAGCUCUACACAUGACAAUUGGUUUUGGGUGUACAGCUUUUUGUUACAUUAUUAAACCCGAUCCCCCAGUAUUUUCUGAAGCGUUACCUGUAUUGACUACCACAUAAUUUCAGGUUGCCCUUAAGAGGAAACAGAAGGGAGUAUAAAUUUACCUGGCAAUGGGCAAGCUGCGUAAAUAAAGAAAAAAUCAAUAACGAAGGAUAGAUCAAAUCAAAGGUAAUGAGAAAUGACAAAAAGAAGUAUGCUGCUUUUUUUUAAUUCAGGUACAGUGCGUGUGCUGGCCCACAUGGUAUGCAUAUACUCGUAUAGCUGGCAGUGGUUUGUUUCUUAAAAAGAAUACAAAAGACAUUCUGUUGUAAAGUUUAAAGAAUAUUUAAUAUAUAUUUUUUAAAAAUAAAAUGUAUAUUUUCAAUUUUGUUCUGUAUAUGAAUGCACAAAAAUGUAUAAUCGUCAUUGCAGUGACAAAAUCCAAGGAACUGAGGAGAUCUGCCCACUGUGGUAAGAUACAGGUGACAAUCUAAGAGAAUUCACAAUGGAAUCCAAACACAAUUUCCCAUAGCGAGUCCUGACUUGUUUUCUUACUGUGAAUUGCCUAAGUAGCUAUGAAGAUCAUUCACACAUAGCACAAAUCCUUGUGGACAAUGCUAAUAAUGAGUUGGGUUUUAAAAUAAAUGCCACAAUCAACAUUUUUUUUCUUUCUCUUUUUUUUUCCUGCUUACCUUCAGUGCCACAUUUCUAUCUAGCACAGCAAUGAAGCCGAGUGGUAAGUGAAGGGCAUUAACUUCUUCCAUGCUGACAAACUCCUGUCCUGCCUAUGAAUGGGGGAAGAAGCAGCCUGAAGCCACAUGCACUAAGGGCUCUGAUGGGUAAAUGGAAAUCAGCUUGUGAGCAG
Molecule: non-coding RNA, 7180 nt
Organism: Meleagris gallopavo (turkey)
Lineage: Eukaryota; Metazoa; Chordata; Aves; Galliformes; Phasianidae
Source: RefSeq, a predicted model, not a curated record